AUUUGGAAUCAUGCUUCAUACCUAUUAUAUUUUUCAGGAUAAUCUCAAGGUGCAAAAAGUUGUAACAGCGGGCGUGGUUGUGAGUGGACCGGAGGUGAAACCAAACUACUUUUAGAUUAUUACGAACAGUACUUUGGACGAGUGGGACUCAUGAAAAAAUUUCGAAACAAAAAGGAAAUGUGGUCACAGAUAGCCGUCAAACUGAAGGAAACUCUUGGAGUGCUGAGGAAUGCAGACCAAUGCUGCACACGUUAUAAGACCGUAAUGAAGCGGUAGAAUACACCAGUGGCACACAACAGCAAGUCUGGAAACUCCCCAACACAAGUGCCUUUUGAGGAUGAGGUUGAAAAAAUUCGCUGGCUUGAUGACAGCCUGGAACCAGCAGAGCUACGGGACAGCCAUGGGAUCAUUUCACAAAAGGCGAGACCCAGCCCCCCUUCCUCAUCACUGUCACUCUCAUCACUCGCAUCACUCCCAUCACAGGCAGUUCCGACAACACCACUGAUGAAUCUGCCAGUGUUUUGGAGGACUCGCAGCCAAGUACCUCACAACGGUUUGCAAAUUCUGUCAGGAAAUUGUCGAAUGCGAAAAGUGCACGAGUAUCAACUGCAAGAGCAGAAGAAAUAAAACAGUUUUUUGAACAAAUGGAACGCCUUUAAAAGUUAGAAGAAGACCAAAAAGCUGUUCGUGAAGAAGCGAUAAGGUUGCGACAUGAAGAAAAGAAACAGUACAGAGAAGAAAUGACAAAAAAAAAAAAAAGCU
Dermacentor andersoni is the source of this 762-nucleotide long non-coding RNA. RefSeq lists it as uncharacterized. Lineage: Eukaryota; Metazoa; Arthropoda; Arachnida; Ixodida; Ixodidae. The record is from RefSeq and is a predicted model, not a curated record.